AACGCACAUUGCGCCCCCUGGUACUCCGGGGGGCAUGCCUGUUCGAGCGUCAUUACACCACUCAAGCACCGCUUGGUAUUGGGCAUCGCCUCCCCCCGGGGCGGCGUGCCCCGAAGACAUCGGCGGAGACCGACCGGCUCCGGGCGUAGUAGAUCUCUCUCACGUCCAAGGGUCCGUCCGGCCUCCCGCCGCGAAACCAGGGCUAACCCCCGACACCUCAAGGUUGACCUCGGAUCAGGUAGGAAUACCCGCUGAACUUAA
Molecule: unclassified non-coding RNA, 261 nt
Filed under: uncultured fungus
Lineage: Eukaryota; Fungi
Description: partial contains 5.8S ribosomal RNA, internal transcribed spacer 2, and large subunit ribosomal RNA
Rfam family: 5.8S ribosomal RNA (bases 1-52)
Source: RNAcentral